RNAcentral lists this transfer RNA (68 nucleotides) under Oreolalax jingdongensis (Jingdong lazy toad). Its description in RNAcentral is "tRNA-Asp". Lineage: Eukaryota; Metazoa; Chordata; Amphibia; Anura; Megophryidae. The record is from RNAcentral.
GAAGUGUUAGUAAACUAUUACAUUAUCUUGUCAAGAUAGAAUUACGGGUGAAAACCCCGUACAUUUCU